Molecule: ribosomal RNA, 501 nt
Filed under: uncultured Glomus
Lineage: Eukaryota; Fungi; Glomeromycota; Glomeromycetes; Glomerales; Glomeraceae
Description: SSU rRNA
Rfam family: Eukaryotic small subunit ribosomal RNA
Source: RNAcentral
AGCAGCCGCGGUAAUUCCAGCUCCAAUAGCGUAUAUUAAAGUUGUUGCAGUUAAAAAGCUCGUAGUUGAAUUUCGGGAUCAAUACGUCGGUCGUGCCUUCGGUACGUACUGGCGUCAUUGGUUUCUCCCUUCUGACGAACCAUGAUGUCAUUAAUUUGGUGUUAUGGGAAGUUAGGACUGUUACUUUGAAAAAUUAGAGUGUUUAAAGCAGGCAUUAGCUUGAAUACAUUAGCAUGGAAUAAUGAAAUAGGACGUUCGAACCUAUUUUGUUGGUUUCUAGGAUCAACGUAAUGAUUAAUAGGGAUAGUUGGGGGCAUUAGUAUUCAAUUGUCAGAGGUGAAAUUCUUGGAUUUAUUGAAGACUAACUACUGCGAAAGCAUUUGCCAAGGAUGUUUUCAUUAAUCAAGAACGAAAGUUAGGGGAUCGAAGACGAUCAGAUACCGUCGUAGUCUUAACCAUAAACUAUGCCGACUAGGGAUCGGAUGAUGUUAAUUUUUAAUG